AACUGCUGCACUCGUAUGCAUAUUUUAAGUACCCACAUAUACAUACGUAUAUACUUAUAUAUAUAUGUAUAUAUCUGUAUAUACAUAUGGUAUAUAUAAGUAUAAAUGGACGCAAAUGUCAAUGCGAAAAGUAAUUUACUGCAGCAAAAUGGCAAAUAUGCAAUAAAAAGUUGUGUCUUACUGUUCAGCCUUUGCCUGGUUGGAACUAACUUAACUAAAUAUUACUGACGACCUAAAAAAUUAACUCAUAUGUUAUUAAAGUUAUACAAGGAGCGCUCCAAAGUAAACAGGACAGAACAGAAGAGGAACAGACAGACAGAAAAAACAGAACAAAAUCUAUUUAUUUUAUUCAAAAUAGUUUUCUUCCGCUUUAAUACAGCUUUAUUCACGGUCCAAAAGCAUGUCGAACGAGUGUUUUAGCUCGUUGGCCUGUAUGGCCGCAAGUAUGCCGGUGCAAGCCUUUUGAAUUGCUUCUACGUCUGCAAAACGCUUACCUUUCAUGGGAAGAAGUCGCACGGUGCCAUAUCAGGCGAAUACGGGGAGUGGUUUAUGGUUAAAACGUGAUUUUUGGUCAAAUAAUCGUCCUUCGAAUGUUGAAUUCUGAGCAAUUUUUGGUCGUCAGUCAAUUUGUGCGGAACAAACCGUGCACACACCUUUCGUAAGCCCAAAUGUUCGAUCAACAUGCGAUAAAUCGAUAUUUUGGAGAUGUUUAAUUCCAUUUCCAUGAAUUUCAAUGAUGAUUUCGGCUGAUUUUUUAUGAAUUCACGCACAGUUUCAAUGGAAUUUCCGGUGAUCACGGAUUUUGAUUGGUCCACAUGUUGAUCGUCACUUAUGUCCUCACGACCACUUUGAAAAUGUUGAAACUACUCGUGCACUCUGCUACGGGUUGGGCAAUUAUUGUCAUAAACUUGUUUUAUCAAUUGAAACGUUUCGGUAAAAGUUUUACUAAUUUUAAAACAAAAUUUAAUGUUGGCUCUUUUUUCGAAGCUCAUUUUCGCACCGAUAACACAAACAUACUGACACUUAAAACGCAAUAACUUAACUUCCAUUCUUUUCCAUUCUAUGAAAUGUCAUGAAAUUCUCACUGGACAAUCGACAAAGAUAGAUAAAGAUAAUUCUAACGCACCAGUCGACAUGGCACCAUCAGGUGGCGCUAGACUCAAAAAGUCCUGUUUACUUUGGAACGCACUUUAUACAAAUAGAUCAAUAUUGCUCAUGAUGCUUUCCUUAAAAAUCUCGUAAAAUAUCUGCAUUGGAAACAAAUUGGUCUAUUAUUGUUUUGACUAGAGAUCUUGGUACUUUAGAAGUUUACGAUAUUGUGCACGAUUGUACACUCUUCUAGUAGAUUGUAUUUUCUCUUUUCAGAUCUGCAGCUCGAAUUAUUUUCUCCAGGAGUAGAUUGAAAAAGUCGCACGAUAGGGAGUCGCCUUGUCUGAAACUUCAUUUGGUAUCGAUCGGCUCGGCGAGGUCCUUCUCGAUCCUGAUGGAGCUUUUGGUAUUGCUUAACGUCAUUUUAACCAGCUCUAUUAGUUUUGCAGGGAUACCAUAUUCAGAAAUCGCGGCAUUAGGGAGCUCUUUUCGUGAUGUCCAAAGCAGUUUUGAAAUCGACGAAGAGGUGAAGUGUGUCGAAUAGAAAAACAUUCGGCUGUCCGUUGUAAUUGCAACUACCCGACGUCAAACUUUCCUUGUGUUUGUUGACGUACGUUUUUUGCUGCACAGAGGCGGGUGCGUAUCUUGGCUGCAAAAAGGUAGUGGUCCGAGUUAAUAUUAGGACCAAGAGGCGUACGCUCAUCUAAAACACGAAAAACACGGAGAAAUCGAUCAGCAUCAGCUCAUUUGGGGUUGUUUCAUCACGGAGGCUGAAUUUACCAAUCGUUCUUUUUAGUACCUUUUUAGUCCACCCUGGCGCUAAAGUCGCCAAGCACGAUUUUGACAUCGUGGCGGGGGCAGCUCUCAUAGGUGCGCUCCAUGCGCUUAUAGAAAACAUUCUUUCUUUUCAUGCGGAUCGUGACUAUACGUUUAACCACCGGACAGGAUGCCAGUACACGGCGUUGGGGUCUCUCACUCACUACGAAUCCCACACCGAAUUUGCGCUGCUUUACAUGGCCACUAUAGUAAAUGCCACAAGGACCUACUCUUUUCAGUCCUUGUCCCAUCCAUCGCACUUCUUGAACUUAAAACGUGGUUCUUAAUGUGUUUGCUGUGGUCGUCAUCAAAAGAGGGGGGUUUCUCAUCCGAGGUUGUUGUUUCCUUUUCACAUGGCUCCACUCUUACUAAUAAAAAAUCAUAAUGAUUGUGAUUGAUUUCUUAAAGACUUUCACGAAUGCUUGAAUUCUCAUUUUGAAUACACGCUAAGUUUUUGUGGCUAAUACUAAUAACUUUAGGUUAUAUCCGUAUUUUUAAUACGUACUUUAGAAAAAAAUUGUGUUAAAAGUUUUGUAAUGCCUCGAUGUAGAGAAUCAUAUUGUAAGCUACAAAAUAUAUGACAAUAAAUUCUUGCAGAAGUCUGCUGCGUGCUAAUUCAAGGAUCAAUUGAAGUUCUGAAAAAUGGAAGGAGAAUGUUUUUCUAAUAACUGUACAACAUUUCGUGUUUCAAUUUCAGAAUUCGGAUUGGGAAAUAAACUGGCUUUUCUCCAGAAUAUUGGAUCUAUUUCCAAAGAAAAGGAAAACUCAUUUUCUAUUUUACAUUUCGACUUUAGACCCAUUUUAUAUUGAUAUAACAACAUUACUUUCGUAGUCUGUCCAACUCAUAUUUACUUCAAUAAAAAUGUUCACGUUUUUCUAACAAUUCGUGGUUAUUAAAAUAAUUAUUGUUUAUUUAUCAGAGAUUGGAAUUACGAUUAUAUUAAAACCGUCAUCCAUCGUAUAAGUAACAUAACCGUAUAUCUCAUAUUCUCACAUAUAUCAACACAUAUGUAUAUAUACAUAAACGCGCAAACACAUAUACAAUUUUUUGUUUUAGCCAUGCAUUGAUAUCAUCAGAGACCGUCUGUCUGCCUGUCAGUCUGCUUCUGGUUGCUUUGAAGUGCAUAAUGAAAUUUCACAUAACUGCCGCAGCUGUAGCACGGCGGGUAGGCCAAGUGGGGUGGAAAUCAGUAGUUGUGCUGGAUUACAUAUCGCCAAUAAAAGAAAUGAAAUUGAGUUAAGGGCAAAAGUUCAUUUUAUUUCCAUGGGUGGACUUCAACAUUUGCCAACUGCUACAAUCGGAUAAACCACAAAGCGGCGGCUCCAGGAAACUGUCGGAAAAUAACUAGCUACGAUUUCAAAUCCAAUAACUGCACUGAGCCACCAUAUUUUAUAAUCAUUUCAACACAAAACGCUGCGCGUCUACUGCAUAUUUAUUCCGCCAGCGCAUUGAAAUUCAUUCUAUGUGCGGCAAGGCAAUCUACUUGGUUGGGAUUACUGUGGAUAGUGCUGCACGAACUUGUGGGCGGAAUAUUAUAUAAUUAUAUACAUAUAUAUUUGCAACAAAAGGACUUAUGACGUUCUGCGCUCAGUGCUUCAUUAAGGUACCUUACAUAGAAUCACUAAUCACAUGGAGGAAAGUCAGCCGGAUGUUCGAAAAUCCUGAUAACUCAUAUAUUGGCCCAUUUGUGCAGCAUAAAGUCAUCCAGAAGUUCCAUAAUCUUUAUAUUGGGUAUAUGGGGGUCAAGGAAGUAUGGAACCAUUAUAACUUCUUGAUUUGUACACUAAACGGAACUUAAAAUUGUGUUAUACGAGUAUGGGAAGUAGGCGUGGUUUUAGUCCGAUUUUGCACUGUGACAUGGGAAUAUGAAUACGCCACGUUUAAAUUUUCUCGCAAUUGUUUGGUGAUAUGUGAUUUCACCCAAAAGUGAGCGGUGACAUGCCUUUCGUCCAAUUUUUAUACCAGCCCCAACAAAGACCUCUCAUACUAUCUCGGAGAUGUAUAUAGAAACAGACAGACAACCGGACUUGGCUAAACCAACUUAGCUCAUCACGUUAAUCACUUCAAUAUAUUUUUUAUAGGGUUUCCCACGUUUUGAUCAGUUUAGUACAUACUUCGUGGCAAACCGAACAUACCCUGUUCAUUAAAAAAGGGUGAAAAAAUACGUUUCUACGUUAUAUGUCCUCUAAUAUUUUCAUAAAAUAUAAGCAUAUAAGUUUUGAAUGAGAGAGCUUAAGUGACUUUAGUCGUUGCCUGCAAUUCAAAAUUUAUGAUGUUGUUAAAACUUACUUGGAAAGUGUCGCUACCAAAAUUAUUAUACUCAAACCAAAUCGUAAAGCUAAAUAAUGCAGUAAAUAUGUAUAUACACCCACAUUAAGUUAUGAGUUGGUAUGAGCAUUUGAAAUCGCCAAGCAGUUAAUAAAAGGUAAUGAUGUUUAUAUAAUGAUAAUAAAGGACCACUUAAAUUCACUCCAAUGCCAAGUGCAUUUCAGUUUUUUCUCGUAUGCACUCGUAGUCUGCAAAAUAUUGCACCUUUUUGAGUUGCUGCCAAAUCGUGUGCAUGAAAUAUUCCAAUUGACUGCCAUUUCGCUAAUAUUAAGUACCGUUAGUGGCACUUGAUACAGGUGGUGGUGUGUGCAUUUUCCCUUUGUGGUCGUGGAUUUUAUUAUGCAUUUGCUUAACAUUUUUAAAUAAAUAUAUAUGUAGUACUCUUGUAUAAAACUAUGCGCAAGUGUUGCUGGGCAUGUGAUUGUGCACACAAUAGGAAAUAUGAAAGAAGAAAUAAGGAAGGGAAAAUAAUGCGAGUGCAGAUACAUUAUAUAUAUGGUAUAGUCUCGAAGCUCGCAUGAAUCUGGGGAUUUAUGGUGUAUUUAAAACUUUAAAUUAACUAGAAUAAAUAAAGCAAUUAUAUAAUAUUUACAACAUACACAUUUUGGUAAUCUCUCUUAUUUAAUAUAUUUAUUGAAAUAUACGGUAUAAAGUCAACUGUAUGCUUGUCAUGAAGGUAGCCAAUAUAAAGAAUUUAUAUGCGGUAUUUGCGAUCAUCAUUUUUCUUGUCAGUGCCAAUUGGCAUCCACCACUUCUUUAACCGAGACACAGCUAUAGUAUAUCUUUAAAGUUUUUGUUGUGUAAAUAUUGAUAAAUUCCCAUAGGAAUAUGAAAUAUAUUGGGUACAAACAGGAACUAGCUGAGUAUAUUAUAAUGUCUCUUAUUACAAAUGGAUAAUAGCGAGGAUCACAACAGACAGUCGAACGAUUUUCGACUCGACUCAUCAGGGAACUGUGGGACGACAUUUCAAGCUCCUUACAUACAGCUGCAAACGAAAUCAUGGGUUUUCGGAAAAGGCAAAAGAACAGCUGGUACGAAGAGGAGUGCCGUGACUGCUUACCUCGCAACGUUACGAUCGACCACAACACGAGCGAGAUGGGAUAGAUGCCAUGAUUUGAAGAGGAAAGCGAGACACAUUUGCAGAUAAGCAAAGAGAGGGCCGAAAUGCGUGAGUACGAAGAGCUUGACAAGCUGGUUGAUAAGGGUAAUGCUCAAAAAUUCAACGAAAAGAUGCGGUGACUAACGGAAGGUUUCAAAUGCAGAGCAUAUUCUUGUAGAACCCCCGAGAUGAUCUAGUGACUGAUGCUCAGAGCAUACUGAAGUUAUGGAGGGAAUACUUCUCCAACCUGCUGGCAGAGAAAGCGUAACACCAGGAGAUGGUGAACCAAAUUUCUCAAUCGAUGACGAUGGAGCAGACGUUCCAUUGUCCGACCAUGAAUAAGUUCGAAAAGCAAUUACCUAUCUGAAGAACAACAAAGCGGCGGGGGCCGAUGGAUUGCCGACCGAGCUAUACAAAAAACGGCGAUGGAGAACUGUAAAGGAGCAUGCAUCAGUUUCUUUGUAAAAUAUGGUCGGACGAAAACAUGCCCGAAGAUUGGUAAUUAAAUGUGCUCUGCCCAACCCACAAAAAGGGAGACCUCACCCCCUGCGCCAAAUACCGUGGGAUAAGCCUCUUCAACAUCGCGUAUAAGGUUCUAUCGAGCGUAAUGUAAUCGCUUAAACCACUCAUGCACAUUACUAUGGGAUAGGCACUGAUCACCAUAAACCUUUUUCAUCAUUUGAAAUGUUUCAGUAAACGCUUUCCCAAGUUUAAAACAAAAUUUAAUAUUUGCUCUUUGUUCAAAAUGCAUUUUACGACCGAUGACCAAAAGCUGCUGUCACUUUUUGAUUGAUAAAAUCGAUUGUAGUUAUCCAAUUAUCUUAAAAUUUGUACGAAAGGUCAACAAGAGAUCAAACUUUUUAUUUCAUAUACCCACCAAUAAGUGGCGCCACCAGAAACAGUUAUAUUUAAAAAGUUCUGUUUCUUUUGCGACAGACUUUGUAGCUACAUUAAAGAGCUUUCUGCAAUCUUUCUUUGAUUUUGAAGUCACCACAGGAUCCUAAUUCUUCCCUAGGUACGCCAUGUUCUUAGGUUGGAAUGGAGGAAUGGUAGGAAUGCGUUUUUUCGCCUCUUGUA
Bactrocera dorsalis (oriental fruit fly) is the source of this 6410-nucleotide long non-coding RNA. RefSeq lists it as uncharacterized. NCBI's taxonomy places the organism in Eukaryota, Metazoa, Arthropoda, Insecta, Diptera, Tephritidae. The record is from RefSeq and is a predicted model, not a curated record. The transcript has 4 exons.